GUUUUUCCCAGAGCACAGAAUGCUUCAUUCCGGAUCUCCAUCCUGAACUCCUUUCAGGGCUGUUGAAGGUCAGCAGUGGCAGUGGUUCCUAAUUCAGUCCUUGUGGAGGUGGAUGGCAAGUGCCAAUUUGCAGGAAGUGGGUGUGAAGAGCCCCCUGUGCUGCUCUGAACUGUCGAGACCGUUGUUGGCACUGUUUCCUCUACAGAGCCUGAUCUGGCCCUCGGGAUGGAAGGACCAGGUAAGGCUGCCCGGCCGCCAGGGAGCAGUCCUACAGCUCAUCUCUUACCAAGGGUCACCUGCGGGUCGGGUGAGGUCAUGGAUGAAUGUGGCAGGGGAAA
Long non-coding RNA from Bubalus bubalis (water buffalo), 338 nucleotides. RefSeq lists it as uncharacterized. The record is from RefSeq and is a predicted model, not a curated record. The transcript is spliced from 2 exons. Lineage: Eukaryota; Metazoa; Chordata; Mammalia; Artiodactyla; Bovidae.